GAGGAGCGGCGGUGGUAGCUGCCGUGAGGGGUGGCGGCGGUAGCUAGGGAGGGUGGCAGCAGAGGGAGGGAGUCUAGUUCGAGGGGAGGGGAGAGGGAGGGUGGAGAGCUUCGAGGGCGUAGGGUGGCGGCACGUGGCACGAGGAGACGUCGAAUAUGUUACUACGUCGGCGGCGACUGAUGGUGCCGUGGAGGAGGGAAGGUCUAGCGCCGGCGGUGGAGGGAGGCCACCUCGUGCGGCGGCAGGUACCGUAGGGGGUGUGGGAUGAGGAGAGCGGGAAGGGGAAAGGGGUAGGUUGGUUUGGUUGGUCGGGUGGGCUGUGGGAAGGAGGAGGUUCUUUCGUUUCGGCGUGGGAGAGGGGAGCCUAGGUACCGCGACGAGUCGCGGCCGCCGGUGCCCGAGAGAGGGUAGCCGCGUGGCGACAGCGGGGGUGGGAGAGGAGAAGGGCUCGACGAGUCCACCGUGGGUCUAGGCGGUGACGACAGGAGAUGUUGGUGCGGGUGUGGGUGCGGGUAUAAUCUUCCUCCUCAGUCUCCAAACCCCGCCCGCACAGCCGCUGACGGAGCAAUCCAUGUAGUAGUGCCACCGCGACGACCGCAAGUAGAUGUGGUACGACAUCGACCACGCCGUGCCGCAGGCCGAGUCGCCGCCGGUCCUGAACGAGGUGCCGCAGGUCAAGCCCUACCUCCACCACUCGCAGGCGGCGUCGUCCCUGCCGCUACGCCCGACCUCCGACUCCGAGCGGACGUGACCGUCGUUCGACCUCCUCGACCGUCGUUGAUCAAGCACGAGUAGAGGCGAGGGAGCCGGAGGAGACGAAGGUGAGGUGCCUGUGGCUGCGGGAGGAGAGACAGCUUCCAGCGGUCUUGGUACUACCGGUCGCGCGCGCACACGCUCCUCUACUGCUGCUGGGGCUGUUCGGGAGGUUUCGGUCCUUCUUCCGGUGGCGGUUCCCGCUGGUCGACGGGGUCGUGGUGGUCGUCGUCAUGGAGGUUCCAGUUACGCCGAUUACUUGCUUACGAUGCUCCUUCUCCACAACUACCUCCACUGUGAGGAGACCGGUAAAGACGCCGAAUACCCUACGGACGAUAGUACUCUAUAGAGGACCCAGCACCACGGCUAGGUUGAACCUACCACCUUGUUUCUUUGUUACUCAAAGACACAUUGUUGAAACUCCUAACCUAAUAUUGCACUUAACCAAAGACUAUUAGACAGUGAGUUCACAAUUAAGAUCAGAACAAACGAGUGUUUAGCUACUAAAAACGAUAAUAAUGUCAUCCGCGUUAGUUGUAAUGAAGAAUACACAAAGAAAACGAUAAUAAUAUCAUCCUACAACGAUAAAAAAAUAAUCUUGUUUGUACUUUAACCAACGAGAUAAUUCUUUGAGUAAAAAACACACGAUAAAGGACCUCGAAGCUCACUUCUCAUCCGAACGUUACGGACGGAAAAAACACACGAUAAGGGAUCAAACCCUAAAAGAGGGUUAAGGAUCCGUGGAUCAAGGAUAUGAUUAUAUGAACAUGACGAGUACGGCGACAACGAUGACUAGAACCGUGUUGUGUUGUGAAGAUGAAGGAUAUGAUUAUAUGAACAUGAUGAGUAGGUCGAGAUGACUAUGUACAAAUGUGACAAUUAAUCCUGGUUUGGUAACACAUCGAACACGAUAAAUAACCUGUAUUACUAGACAAACAACCCCUUUUGGACAUACAAACUAGAAUUAAUCGAAUUAAUUAUGAGGAGCAAUGAUCCUCCUCCACCGGGUAGUUAUUUUUUAUGUGUACUCUCUUAGCACACACUGACGACGACGACACAUGUUGCACCGGGUCGCGGUUGUUUGUUGAAAGGGAAGCACUGAUAUGAAUCGUAAAAAAUCCUUGCGGUGUAAUCGAGGAACUUCCGUAAAAGAAUAGUAAUGGUUCGUAAAAUUUUAGGGAAGAUUACAGAUGGCACGACAGUGUCCGUUCUGAUUGACAUACACUCCGAACACUAGAGCGAAAUCACAAAAUCACGUACAUCACAAGAACGGACAUGAAUACAUCACGGACCUCGUCAAUAUACACAACAAAGGUCGCACUAUCAACAGGAUGGGCAUCAUGAGGAGAUCCUCAUCAACACAUGAGAACACCAAACAGGACGGAUAUCACGUCUCUACCUCAUGAAACAGGACAGACACGUAAGGACAUCAAAAAACGUUAAUUUAAAAGUGUUUACCGGUUUGGAAAGGUGACAAGUAUAAAGGACUUUUUCUUUGGUAUUCGAAAAUUUAAUGAGUAUAACAAGGUGACAAACAUAGUACCUAGUGUGUAUCACGACAAGUACUAAAAACUUUUAACAAAACUCAUGGUACCUCAUGAUAGACUAGUACUCGAUUACUAUGCAGGUAAAACGUAGUACUAAAAUACAGUUAUAAAUAACGUAAUACCCGACAAUAAAGUGCAAUACAGUGUUAUGAAUACCGAUAAGAGAGAGUAAAAUGUUCCAAAUGUACUUCUCCCUCUUACGACCGUCGACCUUAAGACCCGACCUUUUCCUCGUUUAUAACUUCCUGAUAAGAUGCGUUGAGGUUUUCAGGUCUUUCAGGUGCCUUAUGGAAUCUUAUUUAUUUCUUUUUAGCAGCAGUUUCUACUUCCGGUCCCCCGGUGUGGGACGAGUGCCCCCACCCCCCGCGGGGGGACCCGCGCGGGGUGAUGGAGCACCCGGGGGAUCACCGAGAGGCUACGGGUAGAAGAGUGUAUACUUCAGAAAGCUACUCUUUUUUUUUUCCUCUCUUGAAAAGCCCUGCUCUGAGACGGCGGUGCUCCGUCUUGGAACCGCCUUGGUUAGAUCCCGAGGCCGUUUCGACAAGACGGCCCCUGUGAAGGGCGGCCGUCCCCCUUUAGUAGUGGUAGCAGUAGUGGUUAUGAGGAGAGUAGCCCUCUCCCGUUAGAGGUAUUUGUAGAAGUGGUCGUGGUAGAGUAGAGGUUUGGGAUCAAGUACAGAACAUAGGUUAAGAACAGAGGUUCAGGCCCUAACCACGAUCAUCCAACGAUCAUCACAACUAAUGAGAAACAUCAACUACGAUCAACCAAAUAAACCACCUUCUAGUAUACAAGUCUAGGAUAUACGUGUAAUAAUGGGGA
This 3119-nucleotide ribosomal RNA is filed under the name Triticum aestivum (bread wheat). Its description in RNAcentral is "partial small subunit ribosomal RNA". The record is from RNAcentral. Lineage: Eukaryota; Viridiplantae; Streptophyta; Magnoliopsida; Poales; Poaceae.